AGCUUUGCAGAGUGGCAGUAGCGUAGCCAAUGAGGUUCAUCCAAGGUGUGAUUAUUGCUAAUUAAAUAUAAGCAAAUUCAU
Molecule: small nuclear RNA, 81 nt
Filed under: Chinchilla lanigera (long-tailed chinchilla)
Lineage: Eukaryota; Metazoa; Chordata; Mammalia; Rodentia; Chinchillidae
Description: U4 spliceosomal RNA (ENSCLAG00000020616.1)
Source: RNAcentral